UACGUAGGUGGCAAGAGUUGUCCGGAUUUAUUGGGCGUAAAGAGCGCGCAGGUGGUUGAUUAAGUCUGAUGUGAAAGCCCACGGCUUAACCGUGGAGGGUCAUUGGAAACUGGUCGACUUGAGUGCAGAAGAGGGAAGUGGAAUUCCAUGUGUAGCGGUGAAAUGCGUAGAGAUAUGGAGGAACACCAGUGGCGAAGGCGGCUUCCUGGUCUGUAACUGACACUGAGGCGCGAAAGCGUGGGGAGCAAACAGGAUUAGAUACCCGGGUA
RNAcentral lists this ribosomal RNA (269 nucleotides) under uncultured prokaryote. RNAcentral's name for it is "partial 16S ribosomal RNA". It matches the Rfam family "Bacterial small subunit ribosomal RNA", at positions 524 to 792 of the family's 1533-position model. The record is from RNAcentral.